Molecule: transfer RNA, 88 nt
Filed under: Persicirhabdus sediminis
Lineage: Bacteria; Pseudomonadati; Verrucomicrobiota; Verrucomicrobiia; Verrucomicrobiales; Verrucomicrobiaceae
Description: tRNA-Ser
Rfam family: tRNA
About the family: Transfer RNA (tRNA) molecules are approximately 80 nucleotides in length. Their secondary structure includes four short double-helical elements and three loops (D, anti-codon, and T loops). Further hydrogen bonds mediate the characteristic L-shaped molecular structure. tRNAs have two regions of fundamental functional importance: the anti-codon, which is responsible for specific mRNA codon recognition, and the 3' end, to which the tRNAs corresponding amino acid is attached (by aminoacyl-tRNA synthetases). tRNAs cope with the degeneracy of the genetic code in two manners: having more than one tRNA (with a specific anti-codon) for a particular amino acid; and 'wobble' base-pairing, i.e. permitting non-standard base-pairing at the 3rd anti-codon position.
Source: RNAcentral
GGAGGGGUGGCAGAGUGGUUGAAUGCACCGGUCUUGAAAACCGGCAUACCGCAAGGUAUCGAGGGUUCGAAUCCCUCCCCCUCUGCCA